GCCUUAGUAACGGCGAGUGAAGCGGCAAAAGCUCAAAUUUGAAAUCUGGCACCUUCGGUGUCCGAGUUGUAAUUUGAAGAAGGUAACUUUGGAGUUGGCUCUUGUCUAUGUUCCUUGGAACAGGACGUCACAGAGGGUGAGAAUCCCGUGCGAUGAGAUGCCCAAUUCUAUGUAAAGUGCUUUCGAAGAGUCGAGUUGUUUGGGAAUGCAGCUCUAAGUGGGUGGUAAAUUCCAUCUAAAGCUAAAUAUUGGCGAGAGACCGAUAGCGAACAAGUACAGUGAUGGAAAGAUGAAAAGAACUUUGAAAAGAGAGUGAAAAAGUACGUGAAAUUGUUGAAAGGGAAGGGCUUGAGAUCAGACUUGGUAUUUUGCGAUCCUUUCCUUCUUGGUUGGGUUCCUCGCAGCUUACUGGGCCAGCAUCGGUUUGGAUGGUAGGAUAAUGACUAAGGAAUGUGGCUCUACUUCGGUGGAGUGUUAUAGCCUUGGUUGAUACUGCCUGUCUAGACCGAGGACUGCGUCUUUUGACUAGGAUGUUGGCAUAAUGAUCUUAAGCCACCCGUCUUGAAACACGGACCAAGGAGUCUAACGUCUAUGCGAGUGUUUGGGUGUAAAACCCGUACGCGUAAUGAAAGUGAACGUAGGUGAGAGCUCUUAAGAGUGCAUCAUCGACCGAUCCUGAUGUCUUCGGAUGGAUUUGAGUAAGAGCAU
RNAcentral lists this ribosomal RNA (708 nucleotides) under Debaryomyces hansenii. RNAcentral describes it as "partial large subunit ribosomal RNA". It matches the Rfam family "Eukaryotic large subunit ribosomal RNA", at positions 77 to 803 of the family's 3401-position model. The record is from RNAcentral. Lineage: Eukaryota; Fungi; Ascomycota; Pichiomycetes; Serinales; Debaryomycetaceae.